Non-coding RNA from Danionella cerebrum, 69 nucleotides. Lineage: Eukaryota; Metazoa; Chordata; Actinopteri; Cypriniformes; Danionidae. The record is from the annotation of a GenBank genome assembly.
GGCUCGUUGGUCUAGGGUAUAUUCUUGCUUAGGGUGGAGAGGUCCUGGGUUCAAACCCCGGAUGAGCCC